CUUUGUCUCUCGCUCCCACCAGAGCUUGGAAUCCGUCUCUGCUCUUCUGCAUUCUCCACCUCGGGAGCCCCUGGGGACUCUGUGACGGCCUCUGUUGCCCUGUGAUCUGCAGGUCCGGAGAGACGCACAGCUAAGAUGUCAGGACAUCCUGGAAGCUGGGAAAGGGUCUUGCCAUCUCUAAGCUGGACCUGGUGACCUUUUUGGAGGGAAAGAAAGAGCCCUGGACUGUGAAGAGUGAGGAGACCAUAGCUGCACAGCCAGUCCAGAUGUAUAAUCUCAUCCCUGAACAUUUCUGAUGGUGUGAUUAUGACAUGUGACUUUAUCUGGCAACAGAGUGAGUUGUUGCUCCCGCCUGAGCCCAGCCCCCAGAAAGGAUUGUGACAUAUCGUUGGACCCAGAAUUGAGGGACUGUUGACAUUUAGGGAUGUGGCCAUAGAAUUCUCUCUGGAGGAGUGGCAACACCUGGACAUUGCACAGCAGAAUUUAUAUAGAAAUGUGAUGUUAGAGAACUACAGAAACCUGGCCUUCCUGGGUAUGUGUCCUCAUUUUGCUCAAGACCUUUGGCCAGAGCAGGGCAUGGAAGAUUCUUUUCAAAAAGCAAUACUGAGAAGAUAUGGAAAAUAUGGACAUGAGAAUUUACAGUUAAGAAAAGGCUGUAAAAGUGUGGAUGAGUAUAAGGUGAACAAAGAAGGUUAUAAUGGACUUAACCAGUGUUUCACAACUGCCCAGAGCAAAGUAUUUCAAUGUGAUAAAUAUUUGAAAGUCUUCUAUAAAUUUUUAAAUUCAAACAGACCUAAGAUAAGACAUACUGAAAAGAAAUCUUUCAAAUGUAAAAAACGUGUCAAAUUAUUUUGCAUGCUUUCACAUAAAACCCAACACAAAAGCAUUUAUCAUAGAGAGAAGUCCUACAAAUGUAAAGAAUGUGGAAAAACCUUUAAUUGGUCCUCAACCCUUACUAAUCAUAGGAAAAUUUAUACUGAAGAG
RNAcentral lists this long non-coding RNA (984 nucleotides) under Homo sapiens (human). RNAcentral describes it as "long non-coding RNA NONHSAT179586.1". Lineage: Eukaryota; Metazoa; Chordata; Mammalia; Primates; Hominidae. The record is from RNAcentral.